Molecule: ribosomal RNA, 253 nt
Filed under: uncultured bacterium
Lineage: Bacteria
Description: partial 16S ribosomal RNA
Rfam family: Bacterial small subunit ribosomal RNA
Source: RNAcentral
UACGUAGGGGGCUAGCGUUGUCCGGAUUUAUUGGGCGUAAAGAGCGUGUAGGCGGCCAGGUAGGUCUGGUGUGAAAACUCGAGGCUUAACCUCGAGAUGUCAUCGGAAACCAUUUGGCUAGAGUCCGGAAGAGGAGAGUGGAAUUCCUGGUGUAGCGGUGAAAUGCGCAGAUAUCAGGAGGAACACCAAUGGCGAAAGCAGCUCUCUGGGACGGUACUGACGCUGAGACGCGAAAGCGUGGGGAGCGAACAGG